RNAcentral lists this ribosomal RNA (480 nucleotides) under uncultured bacterium. RNAcentral describes it as "partial 16S ribosomal RNA". It matches the Rfam family "Bacterial small subunit ribosomal RNA", at positions 28 to 507 of the family's 1533-position model. The record is from RNAcentral.
GACGAACGCUGGCGGCGUGCUUAACACAUGCAAGUCGAACGAUGAAGAAAAGAAUUGAAGCUUCGGCAGAAAUUCAUUUCGGAUUAGUGGCGGACGGGUGAGUAACGCGUGAGCAACCUACCUCUUACAAAGGGAUAGCCUCGGGAAACCGGGAUUAAUACCAUAUAACAUUGCGACGAAGCAUUUCGAUGCAAUCAAAGCUACGGCGGUAAGAGAUGGGCUCGCGUCCCAUUAACCAGAUGGUGAGGUAACGGCUCACCAUAGUAACGAUGGGUAACCGGCCUGAGAGGGUGAACGGUCACACUGGAACUGAGACACGGUCCAGACUCCUACGGGAGGCAGCAGUGGGGAAUAUUGCACAAUGGAGGGAACUCUGAUGCAGCGACGCCGCGUGAGUGAUGAAGGAAUUCGUUUCGUAAAACUCUGUUCUAUGGGAAGAAAAGGACUGUACCAUAGGAGAAAGCUCCGGCUAACUACGUG